CGAGUUGUAGCCUCGUGCACGGGCCAAGAGCCCCCCGACCA
Molecule: transfer RNA, 41 nt
Filed under: Cyrtodactylus cf. ingeri
Lineage: Eukaryota; Metazoa; Chordata; Lepidosauria; Squamata; Gekkonidae
Description: partial tRNA-Tyr
Source: RNAcentral